UUAAGCGACUAAGCGUACACGGUGGAUGCCCUGGCAGUCAGAGGCGAUGAAGGACGUGCUAAUCUGCGAUAAGCGCCGGUAAGGUGAUAUGAACCGUUAUAACCGGCGAUUUCCGAAUGGGGAAACCCAGUGUGAUUCGUCACACUAUCAUUAACUGAAUCCAUAGGUUAAUGAGGCGAACCGGGGGAACUGAAACAUCUAAGUACCCCGAGGAAAAGAAAUCAACCGAGAUUCCCCCAGUAGCGGCGAGCGAACGGGGAGGAGCCCAGAGCCUGAAUCAGCAUGUGUGUUAGUGGAAGCGUCUGGAAAGGUGCGCGAUACAGGGUGACAGCCCCGUACACAAAAGCGCAUGUGCUGUGAGCUCGAUGAGUAGGGCGGGACACGUGGUAUCCUGUCUGAAUAUGGGGGGACCAUCCUCCAAGGCUAAAUACUCCUGACUGACCGAUAGUGAACCAGUACCGUGAGGGAAAGGCGAAAAGAACCCCGGCGAGGGGAGUGAAAAAGAACCUGAAACCGUGUACGUACAAGCAGUGGGAGCACAGGUUUACCUGUGUGACUGCGUACCUUUUGUAUAAUGGGUCAGCGACUUAUAUUCUGUAGCAAGGUUAACCGUAUAGGGGAGCCGUAGGGAAACCGAGUCUUAACCGGGCGUUAAGUUGCAGGGUAUAGACCCGAAACCCGGUGAUCUAGCCAUGGGCAGGUUGAAGGUUGGGUAACACUAACUGGAGGACCGAACCGACUAAUGUUGAAAAAUUAGCGGAUGACCUGUGGCUGGGGGUGAAAGGCCAAUCAAACCGGGAGAUAGCUGGUUCUCCCCGAAAGCUAUUUAGGUAGCGCCUCGUGAAUUCAUCUCCGGGGGUAGAGCACUGUUUCGGCUAGGGGGCCAUCCCGGCUUACCAACCCGAUGCAAACUGCGAAUACCGGAGAAUGUUAUCACGGGAGACACACGGCGGGUGCUAACGUCCGUCGUGAAGAGGGAAACAACCCAGACCGCCAGCUAAGGUCCCAAAGUCAUGGUUAAGUGGGAAACGAUGUGGGAAGGCCCAGACAGCCAGGAUGUUGGCUUAGAAGCAGCCAUCAUUUAAAGAAAGCGUAAUAGCUCACUGGUCGAGUCGGCCUGCGCGGAAGAUGUAACGGGGCUAAACCAUGCACCGAAGCUGCGGCAGCGAACGUAUCACUUAAAGCGAUUCAGCGGGUUACGAUUGACGGAGCGAAGCGACGUCAAAGCGUAUACAAAGUCGAGUCGGUUUAAGGAUACGUUCGUUGGGUAGGGGAGCGUUCUGUAAGCCCGUGAAGGUGGCCUGUGAGGGUUGCUGGAGGUAUCAGAAGUGCGAAUGCUGACAUAAGUAACGAUAAAGCGGGUGAAAAGCCCGCUCGCCGGAAGACCAAGGGUUCCUGUCCAACGUUAAUCGGGGCAGGGUGAGUCGACCCCUAAGGCGAGGCCGAAAGGCGUAGUCGAUGGGAAACGGGUUAAUAUUCCCGUACUUGGUGUUACUGCGAAGGGGGGACGGAGAAGGCUAUGUUGGCCGGGCGACGGUUGUCCCGGUUUAAGCGUGUAGGUGUGUGUUCCAGGUAAAUCCGGUUCACUUUAACACUGAGGCGUGAUGACGAGGCACUACGGUGCUGAAGCAACAAAUGCCCUGCUUCCAGGAAAAGCCUCUAAGCAUCAGGUAACAUCAAAUCGUACCCCAAACCGACACAGGUGGUCAGGUAGAGAAUACCAAGGCGCUUGAGAGAACUCGGGUGAAGGAACUAGGCAAAAUGGUGCCGUAACUUCGGGAGAAGGCACGCUGACACGUAGGUGAAGUGAUUUACUCACGGAGCUGAAGUCAGUCGAAGAUACCAGCUGGCUGCAACUGUUUAUUAAAAACACAGCACUGUGCAAACACGAAAGUGGACGUAUACGGUGUGACGCCUGCCCGGUGCCGGAAGGUUAAUUGAUGGGGUCAGCGCAAGCGAAGCUCCUGAUCGAAGCCCCGGUAAACGGCGGCCGUAACUAUAACGGUCCUAAGGUAGCGAAAUUCCUUGUCGGGUAAGUUCCGACCUGCACGAAUGGCGUAAUGAUGGCCAGGCUGUCUCCACCCGAGACUCAGUGAAAUUGAACUCGCUGUGAAGAUGCAGUGUACCCGCGGCAAGACGGAAAGACCCCGUGAACCUUUACUAUAGCUUGACACUGAACAUUGAGCCUUGAUGUGUAGGAUAGGUGGGAGGCUUUGAAGUGUGGACGCCAGUCUGCAUGGAGCCGACCUUGAAAUACCACCCUUUAAUGUUUGAUGUUCUAACGUGGACCCGUAAUCCGGGUUGCGGACAGUGUCUGGUGGGUAGUUUGACUGGGGCGGUCUCCUCCUAAAGAGUAACGGAGGAGCACGAAGGUUGGCUAAUCCUGGUCGGACAUCAGGAGGUUAGUGCAAUGGCAUAAGCCAGCUUGACUGCGAGCGUGACGGCGCGAGCAGGUGCGAAAGCAGGUCAUAGUGAUCCGGUGGUUCUGAAUGGAAGGGCCAUCGCUCAACGGAUAAAAGGUACUCCGGGGAUAACAGGCUGAUACCGCCCAAGAGUUCAUAUCGACGGCGGUGUUUGGCACCUCGAUGUCGGCUCAUCACAUCCUGGGGCUGAAGUAGGUCCCAAGGGUAUGGCUGUUCGCCAUUUAAAGUGGUACGCGRGCUGGGUUUAGAACGUCGUGAGACAGUUCGGUCCCUAUCUGCCGUGGGCGCUGGAGAACUGAGGGGGGCUGCUCCUAGUACGAGAGGACCGGRGUGGACGCAUCACUGGUGUUCGGGUUGUCAUGCCAAUGGCACUGCCCGGUAGCUAAAUGCGGAAGAGAUAAGUGCUGAAAGCAUCUAAGCACGAAACUUGCCCCGAGAUGAGUUCUCCCUGAGACUUAGAGUCUCCUGAAGGAACGUUGAAGACGACGACGUUGAUAGGCCGGGUGUGUAAGCGCAGCGAUGCGUUGAGCUAACCGGUACUAAUGAACCGUGAGGCUUAACCUU
This 2987-nucleotide ribosomal RNA is filed under the name Salmonella enterica subsp. enterica serovar Typhimurium. Its description in RNAcentral is "bacterial LSU rRNA". The record is from RNAcentral. Lineage: Bacteria; Pseudomonadati; Pseudomonadota; Gammaproteobacteria; Enterobacterales; Enterobacteriaceae.